This 8666-nucleotide long non-coding RNA is filed under the name Homo sapiens (human). RNAcentral's name for it is "long non-coding RNA NONHSAT172998.1". Lineage: Eukaryota; Metazoa; Chordata; Mammalia; Primates; Hominidae. The record is from RNAcentral.
AUUUAUUAUAAUAAGGCAUUCCCUCAUGCAAUUAUAGAGGCUAAGUCCCUAUAUCUGCAGUUGGCAGGCUGGAGACCCAGGAGAGCUGAAGGUGUAGUUCUAGUCCAAGUCCGAAGACCUGAGAACCAGGAGAGUCAGUGGUAUAAGUUUCAGUCUGAACCCUGCAGGUUAGAGACACAGGAAGAAUGGAUGCUUCCGUCCAAGUCUGAGACCGGAGAAGACACAUGUCCCAGCUCAAGCAGUCAGGCAAGAGGAAUUCCCUCUUAGCCUUUUUUCUGUUCACGUCUUCAAUGGAUUGGAUGAGGACCAUCUACACUGGGGAGGGUGAUCUACUUGACUCAGUCUACUGAUUCAAAUCUUAAUCUCCUCCAGAAACACCCUCACAAACACACCCGGAAUAGUGUUUAGUCAAAUGUCUAAGCACUCCAUGGGCCAGUCAAGUUGACACACAAAACUUGCCACCCCAGCUUCCUACAGAAGCCAACUCCCUCAAGAAGAGAUGAAGAUUCGGCUCUAUGUUGGUGGCGUGGCGUUGUGUACCUAGAACAAUGGUAGGCCACUCUCUGAGUCCCUGUGGGGAUUUUCUAGGGUAAAUCAGACCUUGAUUCAUGUUCACUGUCCUUGCUGAUGAGUCCUUAUCACCCCCCAGACUGCAACUCCUACAGCCGUUAGAUGUUAUGCUCACUUUCACCCCAUCCCUCAGACUCAGACCUUCGCAUUCAAUCCCAGGGCUUUGGUCAUGGGUAGUUCCAGCUGUCUGCACCUCACAGUUGACAACCCCUCACCUCCUGCCUCCCCAAGGCCACUCUCUCCCCGUCGCACCCAGGCUGCCAGGGUGACUUUCAAAACACUCUUCUUUCACUGUAGACCCAUAAGAUGUGGGAACUGGCAGGGACUUUAGAGACAGUGCAUCCUCUCUGAUCUUCCUUGCAGGAUUACAGCUGGGAAACUGAGUUCCAAAGGCAGGAAGAGACUUGCCUGGGGAGGCUGCUCUGGUCCUCAGGCCCUGGUCUUCGUGUGGGUCCCCAGGUGUGGUGGAAAUGGCGGGGUGGUGAGAGAGGGCUGGGGUCAUGAUGGAUGGAGAGGAUGUGAGUAGAGUGAUUGGGAGGAGUGGGGAUGGGAGGGGGACUUGUGGGUGUGUGGCAGGUGUGUGUGCAAUGUGCACACGUCUGCAUAUGAGCAUGUGUGGCUCCUACCAAAUGACCCCAGGUGAUGGAAUCUGGAAUGGAUGGGGAAAGGGAGUUGGGCAGGAGCCCAGCAGUGUCAGCUAGUUAAUAGAUAAAACCCAUUCUUUGGGAUUCUCAUUAGGGCGCUGAGGUCUCCAUCCACUUCAGACUCAACUUGUGUCCAUACAGACCUCACUGAGGGCUUCCAGCAGGCUGUUCUGCUCCCAGCUCUCCUGGGAGGAGUGGGCGUGGGUUUUAAUUCUUGCCCAGAGCCCUGCUGACAGGUGGUGCUCUGUCUGGAGGCGAACCUGGGGCCCAGCUCGGUGGAACCAUUUUCAGCUGUGUACCCCAGUAAGUGCUUGGCCUUUCAGAUCAUAGUUUCUCUCAUGUGCGUAAGAAGGGGUGGGUCAGGAUGGAGGCGGUUUCCAAACACCAGUCUUCCAUGCCAACAUCUGCCCCCUAGACUUGGCAAAAACCAGAACAAUAAGGACAAUGCCAUAAGUUGUUCAUGAAACUAAAUGCAUCCAGUCUAAUGGAUUAUCCUUUAUUCUGAGAUGACGUCCUUCCUUUUUUUGAUAUUCAAAUGCCCUUUUGAAAAUCAAAUGAUAGAAACUCUGUGUGUGUGUGCACGUGUGCGCAUUUGUAUGCUUGUGAAUAAAGGCAUGCUGAUGAAAGAAAGGCAGUGCUUAUCAUAGUGUGGUCUGAGAAUGCCUGGAGGUCCCCAAAACACUUUCAGGGGGUUUAGAAAGUCAAAACUGUUUUCAUAAUAGUACUAAGAUGUCAUUUGCCCUUUUUACCCUGUUGACAUUUGCACUAGUGGUGCAAGAGCAACAGCCAGUAACCUGCUAGUCUGGUAGCACGCAUCAGGCUGGGACGUUCUUGCAGUAAAACAAAAAAGAGAAAAAGAGACAAUGUCACUUAAGAAUGUCCUUGAAGCAGAAAAAUUUAUUAACUUCUUCAUUUUUCAACCCUUGAGUACAAGACAUUUUAAUAUUCUGUACAACCAAGUGAAGGUGUGCAUGAAACAUUUCUCCUGCAUACUGAAGUAUAAUAGUUGUCUUAAGGAAAAGUACUUGUGCAAUUGAGUUGUUAGCUGACCUAGCUGAACAUCAUUUUUACUUGAAAAAGGAAGACUAACAGAAAAAUUAUGGUUAUGCAAUCUCAAGUAUUGGUAGACAUUUUCUUGAAAAUGAAUAAAGUGUGCCAGUCACUUCAAGGAAAAUAAUGGACCACAUUUGUCACCAAUGAUAAAAUUCAGGCUUUCAAGAUAAUGGAGAUAAAUGCCUGGAACAGGGUGGCUGUCCAAUAAAGUCUGUCUUUCCCCUCUUUCUUCUACUCCUAUUUCCUCCUCUUUUUUUUUUUUUUUUUUGACAACGUCUGACUCUAUCGCCUAGGCUGGAGUGCACUGGUGCCACCUCAGCUCACUGAAACCUCCGCCUCCCAGGCUCAAGCCAUCCUCCCACCUCAGCCUCCUGAAUAGCUGGGACUACAGGCACACACCACCACACCCAGUUUAUUUUUGUAUUUUUCUUUUUUUUGUAGAGAUGAAAUUUUGCCACAUUUCCCAGGUUGGUCUUGACUUCCCUCUCUUCUUGGUAGAGGUUAGCUCCUUGGCCCUGGCUGGCAAAGUGUCUGAAAAUUGACACUCUUCAGUGUCAAUUUUCCAAUGAGAUGGGGUAGGAGGUAUUGGUUUGGGCACGGAGUAAGCUGCUGUAAGAACAGUCCCCCAAAUACAGCAAGUUCAACAAGAUGGAAGAUUAUUGCUCUCAUGGAAAACUCUAAGCAAGGAAGGGGUCUGGGAAUGGAAGGCAGUUUGACUCCAUGAAGUGGAUCAGGAAUUCAGGUAACUUCCAUCCUGUGCUCUGCCCUCUCCAUGGUGGAAGCUGGAUCUCUGUGCUGUGUCUAUGUUUCAGUCUGCAAGAAGGCAGGGAGAAGAUGGGAAGGGCUAGCACACAUUGCUUCUGUUCACAUGCCAUUCACAUAUGGCCACAUGUAACUGCCUGGGAGGCUGGAAAGUAGUGUAGUUUCUAGUAAUAUGGCUAUUCUAUGACUAAAAAGAAAAAAGGGAGAAAGGAUUCUAGGGGAUGGAUGACAGUUUCUGCCACAAUAUGAGUGGGGUAGGAUCAGAGGAGAAAAAUGUGGGAAUAGCAGAAAUGUAGCACCUAUGAGCUCACAGCUUCAAAGAGAUGCUCAGGUGAAAUCCCAGAGAGGCCCACCUAGACUCAGCACCCUGCUGCUGCUACCUCUUCUCACCUCAUCAGUCUGUGCAUGGUAUGUAGGCCACGUGUCUUUGCAUUUCCUCCAAACAUCUGAACAUGGUGGAUCUAGAAGGCACUUUAGAGAUCCCCUUUUAUUCUGUAAAAGGAGAGGCACAGCCCCAGAGACAGAAGACUCUUGACCAAUGACACACAGCAAGUCAGAGUUGGGAUUGGGACUAGAACCAAGCUUUCCCACUCCCCAGGCCCAUAGCUCUCUUGCCAUAGCCCACAAUAUCUCUUUGAUGAUGCACCAGGCCCUUUCCCUUCUGAUACAUCAGAUGGCUCCCUCCCUGAGCUGACCACCUGAUUCCUUAUCCUCUGUUACCUUGAAAAGCAUGAAUAUACGUUAAAUAGGAAAGGAAUGAAGCAAACAUGUAUCACACAGUCGAAAAGAAGAAUAGGCAUAGGCAUGUAGUGUAAGAAAGGUUAUUCAGGGAAGGGGCAUUUCCAUCCCUUUUUAUUCAUACACCACCCAAGAGUCUUUUGAAUGCAGGUGCAAAAAUCCCACUGAAACCUGCUUACAAAAUUAAGGAGGAUUUAUUGGCUUAUAUAGUCUCCAAUUCCAUAUUUUUAGGAUGGGUCACUUUUAACACCCUACUCCUGAUACCAAUUUCUACAUCACUUGAGAUGUCUUGUUGACAAGCAGUAACAAUGGGCUCUGACUAAACUGAGACUUUUGGGCAUUUAUUGGAAUAAUCCUGGGGUGGUCUCAAUGAAAGGACUGAAGAAAGGGCUGAAGAACCAGAUCUGGAACUUAUAUCUCAGAGGAUAUCAGCAGCAGAAGAGUCUGCUACCUUCCAACCCUGAGUCUGUAUGCAGAGGCAAAGUGUGGGCAAAGGAAUUCUGGUUGCAUGCCUACCCUAUCUGAUACCAGAAGAAAAUGGGGUAAACAUGGGGAGCUAUGACAGAUAAAAACAAUCACCAUUAUGCCUUUAAUUUCCCCUAUAAAUGCAUACUAUCAUUAUCCACAUUCGCUUAUUAGAUUUGUAUUUUUUCUCAUUUUAACUUAAAGAAAUAUGUAUAGUUCUUAUUGAUGGCAUCUUUCUAAUGGGAGGCAGUACAUGUAAUACAACUUCUUGGCUUAAUACUUACUAACUACAUAACUUGGGCAAGUUACUCAACUUCUCUGAGACUUGAUUUCUUCAUUUUUAAGAUGGGGAUAAGAAUUCCUUGUAGGGUAUUUGAGAUCAUUAAGAUAACUAAUGCAUGAAAGGAUUUUAAAGUAGAGUGGUGGCCAUUUUUAUCAUUUAAAUUUUCCUCUCUCUUUACUGUCUUAGGCUGGAUUCCCAGAAGCAGACUCUUAGUGAAGGAAAUGUAUAGGGGAUGAGAAAGUGGGGCAGGGAAGGGAAGCAGAUCCGGCAAGGAUCCGAUAUCAAGCAAACUCCCACAGAGGGUAAUUUUGGCUCAAUUCCACAUGUGAACUUUGGAGACAUACGAGUCACAACUCAGAGUUGCAUGAGCAGGGAACAAGGGAGCUGGGGUAUUGAUACUCCCAUGUUGCCAAUCAUUGGUUGCAGUGUCUGGCAAGCUGUAGAAAGCAUUCUGACAAUGAGAUGCAAGUGUUGGCUGUUGGGAGUCAAAGCACACUGGGGAUCAGGAAAAGGAGCAGAGGAGGUAUGGACGAAACAUGCUACCUGUCCUCAGUGGUGCUCAUUUACACAAUAGACUUGAAGAGUGUUUUAACAAAGGGGCCAGGGUUAGAGAAAGCAUGAAGGUGAGACUCAGCAGCCUGUUCCAUCUGGGUCAGAGGUCACUCACUCUGACUCCAGGACUUUUUUCUUGGAGCUGCCAAUUUGCAAAGUAUUUCGAAAUAGUAGGCUCAGCAAACUUGGAAAGGCAGGAUGCUCAGCUCAAAAGCUGAGAGUAAUUGUUUAAAAUAUGGGGUUGAGCAAUCAGGGAUUCUCACCUGGAAGCCUUUUGCACCAUGGCAUUUUGCCAGCAGGCCCUGUGCUGGAUCAGGCUGCACGCACUGGCCCAGGCUCACAGCAGUGCAAAGAAAUGAGUGGUUGUUCCCACGGCCCAUGUUUUGAGGGUUUAGAGGCAGGCUCAGAUUUCACAGUUGGCAAGAGGUCCCUCUGCUCCGGUAUUCUACCCGUACUUCCUGAUUACCUGUAAGACCUCAGGCAUUGACCUCGGCACUGGGGAAAACCUCACGUCUCACAAGACCACAGAUAACUCUAGCUCCUGCGCUGCAUCAAGAAGGACAGGCAGAUCAAGCGUGUUGGAGGCAUUGAGAAAAGAAACAUCACUUUCCACCUGAUCAAGAAAGGUCUCUUGAGUUGUCCUUGAAAAGAACAAUCAAAGCGUCUUAUUUAGCCAAUAGUCUAAAAGUUAUAUAUUUAAUAUUUAUUUUAAGAACAUUCACAUGGCAUUUACUACAUGCCAGGAAAAGUUGAAGAGCUCUACACAUAUCAACUCAGUUCCUAUUUGUAGGGAAUGUGAAGCUUACUGGGGAUGUUUGUGGGGAUCUUGGCUGCCCAAUGUGGGACCCCUGUUCCCUUUAGGUGUCUAACACAUGUUCUCUUUCUCUUUGAUGGCCAAGGCAUGGCUGGCCAAUGGGAUGCUUCUCUCUCCAAAGGAGCAGGGAGAGCUGGAGAUACCCUCCUUGCAAACAGCAGCUUGAGGAUCCAGCGCCUGGUGCACAGGUCUGCAAAUCGCCUGGGGUGACUCUGAUGAACUUGAUUAGUAUUGGCUGAACUUGGGCCAGGGUACGGGAUGGGUUCAAGCCUGUUCUGUAUGUUUGUAAUUUGGGGACUCAGGUUGAAAGGGUAGUGUCCAUCUGGAGCAAACUCAUGGUGAAGAGCUGGAGUGCAAGAGAUAGGAGUGGAAAUGUGCAAUGCCUCUUCAGACCUUGGCUUGGAACUGGCACAGCAUCACUUCUACCCAUAUUCAACUGAGCAGAACGCAUGACACAGUCAAGUCCAACAUCAGUGGUGUGGGGUAGUCCUGUCUGCUCACAGUGAAUCGUGAUACAGGGAGACAAGGAAGAAUUGUGGACUAAUAAUUUAAUCUAUCACACAGGGGGUGUUUUUUCACAACCUGAUAUCCUGAUUCCAACCCUCUGAGUGGAAUUUUUUUUUUUAAUUUUUUAGAGACAAGGUCUUGCUCUGUCACCCAGGCUGGAGUACAGUAGUGUGAUCAUAGCUCACUGCAGCCUCAAACUCCUGGGCUCAAGUGAUCCUCCUGCUUUAGCCUCCUGAAUACAUGAGACUACAGGCAUGCGCCACCAUGCCCAGCUUAUUUUUAUUUGUAUUUUGUGUAGAGCUGUAGUCUUGCAAUGUUGUCCAGGCUGGUCUUGAGCUCCUGGUCUCAAGUGAUCCACCCGCCUUGGCCUCUCAGGCAUGAGCCCCCGUUCUCAGCUGGAAUAUCUGUAUUUUGAAGAAGCUGCCCUGGUGAUUCUGAUGUGCAUUCUCACGGGCUCCCUGGCUAAGCUGGCUUUCCUUCAGAUCUGGGGCUUCUGGUCUCGAGGUCACCUGUGUUUCCGGGCCAAAGAUGGUUGUUAACUUGUUCCUCGGAUUGUUCAGUUUCUCAUUCCUGUGCUUUGACCAAGAGGCCAAGUCCAUCCAUUUAAAGUCAUCUCCAAAGACCGGGCUUGGUUCCGGACAUGGCGGGACUGGCUCAGGCAGGAGGCUGACUCAGCCGUGAGAAACAUUAAUGCCUGCCCAUGGUCAUUCUCUUCCUUCGGAAUGCCAGGCUCCUGGGGAUUAGAUGUAAGGAAACUUAUAGAGGCGUCCCAGGGCCACCACUUAUAAAUCAUGUGACCUUGGGCAAGCUAGUCCAUAAAAUAUGAGACUCGCUAUCUCCAUCCAUAAUGUUAGACUAAGACCUCUCAGGCAGACCCUGAGUUCUGUGCAUUGGACAGACCCUGAAUUCUGUUAGGAGGACAAUCUGCCUUCCUCAAGUAAGAUAAUGUCCCGCAUCCCUCUUCCUUUGGGCGACUUCAUUCUUCCCAUCCAGACUGUGGUUGGGGUGUGGUCACCAAUCAACUCCAUCUGGCCACAGGAUUGGGCAAAAAACUCAAUCAUGUGGACUAAUCAAACUCCCACAGUGAUUGGUCCAGGAAUAGACACAUGACCCAAGUUCCACCAAUCAGAUUCCUUCCCUAGGACUUUUUUCACCUGAGCUGGGGAAGAAUUAUCUUUUCACUCUCAAAGCAAGGUUGUUAGGUUCUAAGACUGAAGCUGCUCUUUAUCUCUUCUCCCAACACCUGGCUUACAUGAGCCCAUAAGUUUCCCUUCUUCUCGGACUAGUUUCAGUUGGGUUCUGACAGUGUACCUUACAAUCAAAAAGUCCUGAAGAAAGCGUUACUUUUUGAUGCCAUUGUAAUAAUGAUAAUGAGAGCCGCUUUAUUAUAUGCCUCCGGUUUGCCAGGUUCUGUGCCAAGAGCUUCCAUAUAUUAUCUCAUGGCUUACCUCGACCUGUAGUUAUUUGUGUGCCUGGUGGCACUCCCCGACUGCACCUAACCUCCUGGAGGUUGAUUUCAUCUCAACAUUGCCCAGGGCACCCCGCUUGGUGCCUGUCCUGCACCUGGUGCAUGGCAGCCUGACAGCCCCUCAGGGGGUCACCUUGGAGGGUCACACAGAGACGUGCAGUCCGUCACCACACGUGUUCCACAGGUCACAUGGAGUUGGCCCUCUGGCCAGAGGUUGGCUGGGGACUGAUCUUCAUGGGGUGGCUACAUAAAAGUGGGAGCCCUCCCCACUCCUGCCUCUCCUGCCGACCCCAGCCUCAGCCCCUUCUUUCCUAAGCAGCCUUUUCUAUUAUUAUUUUAACAGCUGGCUCCAGAAUUUUUUCUGGAUACUGUGUAGAGGGUAUGGGGAAUAAGGAACUUGCUGCUCCUGCUAAGCCACCCGGGGUGAAGGUGAGAUCUCCCUAGGGCUCCAGCUGGCUUGUGGAGGAAGAAGUAGCAUCUAUGCUGGGACUGACAGGUGGGCAGGAGUCAGGAGUUGGGAGAGCAGAGAGGGGAACCGCACAGAGAGGACCCAGGCUCAGGAGGCUGCGUGGGCACCUGAGGAACUGGCCAGAUGGUGGAGCUCAGGGAGGCCUGGGGUGCGAGAUGAGGAGGAGCCUGGACGUCCCAGCACUGGCUUUCAUUAUUCUAGCACAUCUCAGGAUUUUUUAAGAAUAGAAAACCUGGCAUUUAUAUUGGCAACGAAAAAUGCUUGAAAUCUAAAUUAUUCUCAUCUGAAGCUAGAAAUAUCCAUAAUGGGCCAGGUGUGAUGGCUCAUGCCUAUAAUCCCAG